RNAcentral lists this ribosomal RNA (253 nucleotides) under uncultured bacterium. RNAcentral describes it as "partial 16S ribosomal RNA". It matches the Rfam family "Bacterial small subunit ribosomal RNA", at positions 524 to 776 of the family's 1533-position model. The record is from RNAcentral.
UACAGAGGUGGCAAGCGUUGUUCGGAAUUACUGGGCGUAAGGGCGCGUCGGCGGCUUGGUCAGUCCCGUGUGAAAUCCCUCGGCUCAACUGAGGAACUGCACGGGAAACUGCCUGGCUUGAGUUCGGGAGAGGGAAGCGGAAUUCCAGGUGUAGCGGUGAAAUGCGUAGAUAUCGGGAGGAACACCAGUGGCGAAGGCGACUACCUGGCCUGUUUCUUGACGCUGAGGCGCGAAAGCUAGGGGAGCAAACGGG